UGUUCAUUUUUUAAUUUAUGCAUCUAAUGCAUAAAUUAAAUAAUCCUGAUAGCCAGAUGCUCUAGAGUUUAAAUUGUUGAUGUGUAAACUUAUCUCUUGCGUUUUAAAAAAGAUUGUAGUCUGAUGUGAACAGUGGCAGAUAUACAACAGGAUCACCAAAUCUGACAAGGCAGCAUAACACAUUCCCGAAAUCCGUUACUCCCCUCUAUUUCCCACCGAAUGAAUUUAAUGUUACACAAAUUCUCUUUAGUGAUGUCUAAUCUCAUUUGUUUCAUACACUAGAAAGCAUUUUGGUCUGAUGCAAACAAUUGCAGAUAUACAGCAGGAUCACAAAAUGCGAACGCAUUUUGAUCUGAUGCAAACAAUUGCUGAUAUACAGCAGGUUCACAAAAUCCAACAAGGCAGCGUAUAACAGGUUGCCAAUAUCUGUUACCCUCCUCUAUUUCACACAGAAUGGGUAAGAUGUUACACAACAUCCCACUAGAAAUGUCUAAUCUCCUCUGUUUCAUACUCUAGAAAGCAUUUUAGUCUGCUGUGAACAGUUGCAGAUAUACAGCUGGGUCACCAAAUCUGAGGCAGCGGAACCUCUCUAUUUAAUAAGUGUUCUGAUGACCGUCGCUCUGGUGUGGCAACCCAAUGAGGAGUUUGUCUUCAGUGGGCUGAGAGUCAAAGCGCCCACUAGAGGUGCAGAAAUGUAACAGCUGCACCUGCAACAAACAAACUGAGUGAUUCUCUGGACAGUGUCAUCAGAAGUCGUGUAGUGCAUUCCAGCCUGUGUCAGUGUUGUGUGGUGGUCCAGUGAGCCAGCAGAGGGCAGUCGUGUGAGCUGAGGCAGGGCUCCACCCCAGUGUGCCUCAGAGAGCUGCCUCUGAUGCUGCUGCCUCCGAGCCUGUGGGCCAGGUGCUCUCACACUGACUAAAAUCCGAAGACAGAGGCAGCCAUCUAAAUCCGGUUAGAGGACAGAAAAUGCCAUCCUUUGAGAAAGAACUAUUCAUUUUGGCUUUUGUGUUAUAAAUAAGUCUGUCCGAAGCACCUGGUGGAAGUUUUAUCUUGUUUUAGAAGUUUAGUUUUCUGACACGUCUCCUGUGAGGGUUGGAUUGGUGUCUGGGAUUCAUGUCUCACCCUCUGAGAUCAGCAGGUCACAUGCAAUAACAAAGUGUGAUUUCCAUAAAUAGCCAACUCUCCUGAGUUUUAUUAGUUUUGGUUCAUCUGAUGCAGUUAUUAACUACUCAGUUGAAAGGCUUGAGGUUUGCUCAUGCAAUCAAACAGGAGGGCCGUAGGUGACAUCAUCAUCUCUUUUAUCCACAAACCUCAUCAUUGACCGAACUGCUAUUUGAUCUCCUGGUGUUCCAGUAACUUCAAGUAAAACACAAUUAGAUGGUCGAACCUACUGAGAUAUAAUCUUGGACAGCUACGUCAAUGGUUACGCUCAAGUCAAGGACCUUGAAGAAAAUGUCCCAUAUUGCCUUUCAUUUUGGACUGGAGAAGAGAUUUCAGGGC
Molecule: long non-coding RNA, 1500 nt
Organism: Onychostoma macrolepis
Lineage: Eukaryota; Metazoa; Chordata; Actinopteri; Cypriniformes; Cyprinidae
Exons: 7
Source: RefSeq, a predicted model, not a curated record